RNAcentral lists this ribosomal RNA (253 nucleotides) under uncultured bacterium. RNAcentral describes it as "partial 16S ribosomal RNA". It matches the Rfam family "Bacterial small subunit ribosomal RNA", at positions 524 to 776 of the family's 1533-position model. The record is from RNAcentral.
CACGUAGGCACCAAGCGUUGUCCGGAUUUAUUGGGCGUAAAGAGCUCGUAGGCGGUCUGUCGCGUCGAAUGUGAAAACCCGGGGCUCAACUCCGGGCUUGCAUUCGAUACGGGCAGGCUAGAGUUCGGUAGGGGAGUCUGGAAUUCCUGGUGUAGCGGUGAAAUGCGCAGAUAUCAGGAGGAACACCCGUGGCGCAAGCGGCCACCUGGCCAAGAGCUGACGCUGAGGCACGAGAGCGUGGGGAGCGAACCGG